AGAGUUUGAUCCUGGCUCAGGAUGAACGCUGGCGGCGUGCCUAACACAUGCAAGUCGAACGGACUUUUCAUGAAGCCUAGCGAUUGAAAAGUUAGUGGCGGACGGGUGAGUAACGCGUGGGUAACCUGCCUUGUACUGGGGGACAACAGUUGGAAACGACUGCUAAUACCGCAUAAGCGCACAGCUUCGCAUGAAGCAGUGUGAAAAACUCCGGUGGUACAAGAUGGACCCGCGUCUGAUUAGCUGGUUGGUGAGGUAACGGCCCACCAAGGCGACGAUCAGUAGCCGGCCUGAGAGGGUGAACGGCCACAUUGGGACUGAGACACGGCCCAAACUCCUACGGGAGGCAGCAGUGGGGAAUAUUGCACAAUGGGGGAAACCCUGAUGCAGCAACGCCGCGUGAGUGAAGAAGUAUUUCGGUAUGUAAAGCUCUAUCAGCAGGAAAGAAAAUGACGGUACCUGACUAAGAAGCCCCGGCUAACUACGUGCCAGCAGCCGCGGUAAUACGUAGGGGGCAAGCGUUAUCCGGAUUUACUGGGUGUAAAGGGAGCGUAGACGGUUUUGCAAGUCUGAAGUGAAAGCCCGGGGCUUAACCCCGGGACUGCUUUGGAAACUGUAGAACUAGAGUGCAGGAGAGGUAAGUGGAAUUCCUAGUGUAGCGGUGAAAUGCGUAGAUAUUAGGAGGAACACCAGUGGCGAAGGCGGCUUACUGGACUGUAACUGACGUUGAGGCUCGAAAGCGUGGGGAGCAAACAGGAUUAGAUACCCUGGUAGUCCACGCCGUAAACGAUGAUUACUAGGUGUUGGUG
This 809-nucleotide ribosomal RNA is filed under the name gut metagenome. Its description in RNAcentral is "bacterial SSU rRNA". It matches the Rfam family "Bacterial small subunit ribosomal RNA", at positions 8 to 828 of the family's 1533-position model. The record is from RNAcentral.